This 438-nucleotide ribosomal RNA is filed under the name uncultured bacterium. RNAcentral describes it as "bacterial SSU rRNA". It matches the Rfam family "Bacterial small subunit ribosomal RNA", at positions 954 to 1392 of the family's 1533-position model. The record is from RNAcentral.
GCAUAACGCGAAGAACCUUACCAAGGCUUGACAUGCAUCCCUAAGCGCGUGAAAGCGCGUGACCCUUCGGGGGAUUUGCACAGGUGCUGCAUGGCCGUCGUCAGCUCGUGUCGUGAGAUGUUGGGUUAAGUCCCGCAACGAGCGCAACCCCUGUGAUUAGUUGCCAGCACGUGAUGGUGGGGACUCUAAUCAGACUGCCCAGAUCAACUGGGAGGAAGGUGGGGACGACGUCAGGUCAGUAUGGCCCUUACGCCUUGGGCUGCACACGUACUACAAUGCCCAGCACAAUGAGAACCGAGACCGCGAGGUGGAGGAAAUCUACAAAACUGGGCCCAGUUCGGAUUGGAGGCUGCAACUCGCCUCCAUGAAGCCGGAAUCGCUAGUAAUGCUGCAUCAGCUACGGCAGCGUGAAUACGUUCCCGGGUCUUGUACACACCG